Molecule: ribosomal RNA, 506 nt
Filed under: uncultured bacterium
Lineage: Bacteria
Description: partial 16S ribosomal RNA
Rfam family: Bacterial small subunit ribosomal RNA
Source: RNAcentral
AGUGAACGCUGGCGGUAGACCUAACACAUGCAAGUCGAACGGCAGCACAGGAGAGCUUGCUCUCUGGGUGGCGAGUGGCGGACGGGUGAGGAAUACAUCGGAAUCUACUCUGUCGUGGGGGAUAACGUAGGGAAACUUACGCUAAUACCGCAUACGACCUACGGGUGAAAGCAGGGGACCUUCGGGCCUUGCGCGAUUGAAUGAGCCGAUGUCGGAUUAGCUAGUUGGCGGGGUAAAGGCCCACCAAGGCGACGAUCCGUAGCUGGUCUGAGGGGAUGAUCAGCCACACUGGAACUGAGACACGGUCCAGACUCCUACGGGAGGCAGCAGUGGGGAAUAUUGGACAAUGGGCGCAAGCCUGAUCCAGCCAUACCGCGUGGGUGAAGAAGGCCUUCGGGUUGUAAAGCCCUUUUGUUGGGAAAGAAAUCCAGCUGGCUAAUACCCGGUUGGGAUGACGGUACCCAAAGAAUAAGCACCGGCUAACUUCGUGCCAGCAGCCGCCGCCG